RNAcentral lists this ribosomal RNA (524 nucleotides) under Agrypnus sp. UPOL RK0030. RNAcentral's name for it is "partial 16S ribosomal RNA". It matches the Rfam family "Bacterial large subunit ribosomal RNA", at positions 1816 to 2610 of the family's 2925-position model. The record is from RNAcentral. Lineage: Eukaryota; Metazoa; Arthropoda; Insecta; Coleoptera; Elateridae.
CAUGUCCUUUUGAUUAUUAUUUAAGGUCUAAUCUGCUCAAUGAGGAGUUAAAUUGCCGCGGUAUUUUGACCGUGCGAAGGUAGCAUAAUAAUUAGUUUCUUUAUUGGAAGCUGGAAUGAAUGAUUGGACGAGAAAACAACUGUCUCUGUUAGAUUUUUUAUUGAAAUUAACUUUUAAGUAAAAAGGCUUAAAUGCUUCUAGAAGACGAGAAGACCCUAUAGAGUUUUAUAUUUUGUUAAGUUAAAAGUUUUUGGAAUUAGUUGUUUUUACUUUUUAUUAAUAUUUGGUUGGGGUGACUGGAAGAUUGAAUUCACUCUUCUAAUAAUUUUAUAUUGAUCUGUAGAUUUAAAUUCUGAUUUUUUCAAGUUUAAAAUAAAUUACCUUAGGGAUAACAGCGUAAUUUCUUUUUAGAGUUCUUAUUGUAAGAGAAGUUUGCGACCUCGAUGUUGGAUUAAAAUUAAUUUUGGGUGCAGUAGCUCAAUAAUUAGGUCUGUUCGACCUUUAAAAUUUUACAUGAUCUGAGU